RNAcentral lists this ribosomal RNA (253 nucleotides) under uncultured bacterium. Its description in RNAcentral is "partial 16S ribosomal RNA". It matches the Rfam family "Bacterial small subunit ribosomal RNA", at positions 524 to 776 of the family's 1533-position model. The record is from RNAcentral.
UACGAGGGGUCCAAGCGUUGUUCGGAAUCACUGGGCGUAAAGCGGGUGUAGGUGGCUCAGCAAGUUGGAUGUGAAAGCCCCGGGCUUAACCUGGGAAGUGCAUCGCAAACGAUUGAUCUGGAGUAGAUGAGAGGGUGGCGGAAUUUCCGGUGUAGCGGUGAAAUGCGUAGAGAUCGGAAGGAACGUCGAUGGCGAAGGCAGCCACCUGGCAUCAUACUGACGCUGAGGCACGAAAGCGUGGGUAGCGAACAGG